RNAcentral lists this ribosomal RNA (1446 nucleotides) under Klebsiella pneumoniae. Its description in RNAcentral is "bacterial SSU rRNA". It matches the Rfam family "Bacterial small subunit ribosomal RNA". Lineage: Bacteria; Pseudomonadati; Pseudomonadota; Gammaproteobacteria; Enterobacterales; Enterobacteriaceae. The record is from RNAcentral.
GGCAAAAGGCGGGAAGCUACCAUGCAGUCGAGCGGUAGCACAGAGAGCUUGCUCUCGGGUGACGAGCGGCGGACGGGUGACAAUGUCUGGGAAACUGCCUGAUGGAGGGGGAUAACUACUGGAAACGGUAGCUAAUACCGCAUAACGUCGCAAGACCAAAGUGGGGGACCUUCGGGCCUCAUGCCAUCAGAUGUGCCCAGAUGGGAUUAGCUGGUAGGUGGGGUAACGGCUCACCUAGGCGACGAUCCCUAGCUGGUCUGAGAGGAUGACCAGCCACACUGGAACUGAGACACGGUCCAGACUCCUACGGGAGGCAGCAGUGGGGAAUAUUGCACAAUGGGCGCAAGCCUGAUGCAGCCAUGCCGCGUGUGUGAAGAAGGCCUUCGGGUUGUAAAGCACUUUCAGCGGGGAGGAAGGCGGUGAGGUUAAUAACCUCAUCGAUUGACGUUACCCGCAGAAGAAGCACCGGCUAACUCCGUGCCAGCAGCCGCGGUAAUACGGAGGGUGCAAGCGUUAAUCGGAAUUACUGGGCGUAAAGCGCACGCAGGCGGUCUGUCAAGUCGGAUGUGAAAUCCCCGGGCUCAACCUGGGAACUGCAUUCGAAACUGGCAGGCUAGAGUCUUGUAGAGGGGGGUAGAAUUCCAGGUGUAGCGGUGAAAUGCGUAGAGAUCUGGAGGAAUACCGGUGGCGAAGGCGGCCCCCUGGACAAAGACUGACGCUCAGGUGCGAAAGCGUGGGGAGCAAACAGGAUUAGAUACCCUGGUAGUCCACGCUGUAAACGAUGUCGAUUUGGAGGUUGUGCCCUUGAGGCGUGGCUUCCGGAGCUAACGCGUUAAAUCGACCGCCUGGGGAGUACGGCCGCAAGGUUAAAACUCAAAUGAAUUGACGGGGGCCCGCACAAGCGGUGGAGCAUGUGGUUUAAUUCGAUGCAACGCGAAGAACCUUACCUGGUCUUGACAUCCACAGAACUUUCCAGAGAUGGAUUGGUGCCUUCGGGAACUGUGAGACAGGUGCUGCAUGGCUGUCGUCAGCUCGUGUUGUGAAAUGUUGGGUUAAGUCCCGCAACGAGCGCAACCCUUAUCCUUUGUUGCCAGCGUUCAGGCCGGGAACUCAAAGGAGACUGCCAGUGAUAAACUGGAGGAAGGUGGGGAUGACGUCAAGUCAUCAUGGCCCUUACGACCAGGGCUACACACGUGCUACAAUGGCAUAUACAAAGAGAAGCGACCUCGCGAGAGCAAGCGGACCUCAUAAAGUAUGUCGUAGUCCGGAUUGGAGUCUGCAACUCGACUCCAUGAAGUCGGAAUCGCUAGUAAUCGUAGAUCAGAAUGCUACGGUGAAUACGUUCCCGGGCCUUGUACACACCGCCCGUCACACCAUGGGAGUGGGUUGCAAAAGAAGUAGGUAGCUUAACCUUCGGGAGGGCGCUACCACUUUGGAUUUACCGGC